RNAcentral lists this ribosomal RNA (210 nucleotides) under uncultured bacterium. Its description in RNAcentral is "partial 16S ribosomal RNA". It matches the Rfam family "Bacterial small subunit ribosomal RNA", at positions 524 to 732 of the family's 1533-position model. The record is from RNAcentral.
UACGUAGGGGGCAAGCGUUGUCCGGAUUUACUGGGCGUAAAGAGCGCGCAGGCGGUCAGAUAAGUCGAAUGUAAAAGCCCCCGGCUCAACUGGGGAGGGUCAUUCGAUACUGUUCGACUCGAAGGCAGGAGAGGGAAGUGGAAUUCCCGGUGUAGUGGUGAAAUGCGUAGAUAUCGGGAGGAACACCAGUGGCGAAGGCGAACUUCCUGG